RNAcentral lists this ribosomal RNA (484 nucleotides) under uncultured bacterium. Its description in RNAcentral is "partial 16S ribosomal RNA". It matches the Rfam family "Bacterial small subunit ribosomal RNA", at positions 30 to 507 of the family's 1533-position model. The record is from RNAcentral.
AUUGAACGCUGGCGGCAGGCCUAACACAUGCAAGUCGAGCGGAUGAAGGGAGCUUGCUCCUGGAUUCAGCGGCGGACGGGUGAGUAAUGCCUAGGAAUCUGCCUGGUAGUGGGGGAUAACGUCGGGAAACGUGCGCUAAUACCGCAUACGUCCUGAGGGAGAAAGUGGGGGAUCUUCGGUCCUCACGCUAUCAGAUGAGCCUAGGUCGGAUUAGCUAGUUGGUGGGGUAAAGGCCUACCAAGGCGACGAUCCGUAACUGGUCUGAGAGGAUGAUCAGUCACACUGGAACUGAGACACGGUCCAGACUCCUACGGGAGGCAGCAGUGGGGAAUAUUGGACAAUGGGCGAAAGCCUGAUCCAGCCAUGCCGCGUGUGUGAAGAAGGUCUUCGGAUUGUAAAGCACUUUAAGUUGGGAGGAAGGGCAGUAAGUUAAUACCUUGCUGUUUUGACGUUACCAAAAGAAUAAGCACCGGCUAACUUCGUG